AUACGUAGGGUCCGAGCGUUGUCCGGAAUUAUUGGGCGUAAAGAGCUCGUAGGCGGCCUGUCGCGUCUGCUGUGAAAGUCCGGGGCUUAACUUCGGGUGUGCAGUGGAUACGGGCAGGCUUGAGGUAGGUAGGGGAGACUGGAAUUCCUGGUGUAGCGGUGAAAUGCGCAGAUAUCAGGAGGAACACCGGUGGCGAAGGCGGGUCUCUGGGCCUUACCUGACGCUGAGGAGCGAAAGCGUGGGGAGCGAACAGGAUUAGAUACCCUGGUAGUCCACGCCGUAAACGUUGGGCGCUAGGUGUGGUGACUUUCCACGGUUUCCGUGCCGUAGCUAACGCAUUAAGCGCCCCGCCUGGGGAGUACGGCCGCAAGGCUAAA
This 377-nucleotide ribosomal RNA is filed under the name uncultured bacterium. Its description in RNAcentral is "bacterial SSU rRNA". It matches the Rfam family "Bacterial small subunit ribosomal RNA", at positions 523 to 898 of the family's 1533-position model. The record is from RNAcentral.